Molecule: non-coding RNA, 45 nt
Filed under: Trichobilharzia regenti
Lineage: Eukaryota; Metazoa; Platyhelminthes; Trematoda; Strigeidida; Schistosomatidae
Source: RNAcentral
AUCCAGUGGACGAGUCUCAAACAGGACGAAAUGUGCAUCCUGGAU